This 1375-nucleotide long non-coding RNA is filed under the name Rattus norvegicus (Norway rat). RNAcentral describes it as "long non-coding RNA NONRATT030771". The record is from RNAcentral. Lineage: Eukaryota; Metazoa; Chordata; Mammalia; Rodentia; Muridae.
GGCUUUUCAGGGCUUCUGUGCCUUCUUUUUAAUUCUUCAGUCCUUCAAUAAAAGAUGCUUGUAGAUAUAAUUAGUACAUUACUUGGGGCUUUUUAAGAUCUACCCUAGUCUUCUGGUUUAAAAGUCCAAAUUCUGAAUGAAGUCCUGCUAUGUUAGGAAGGUGGCCUAGAGAGAAAGCGGCAGAUGAAUGAGGAAUUUAAAUCUCACAUCAUGAUCUGGUGUGACCAUCAUUAGCCCCACACAGUGUCUGCCGCUACCCCAGAACAAGUUGGGGGUUCAUAUCUUGUCUUGAAUGUGUUACAAGUGGACUUGACAGGAACUAUUUAGGGGAUAUUUCUCUUAAGAAAAUGAAGUUGUUGCUGUACACAGCAACUCUGGAGUUUGAAAACUGACUUGUUUGCUGUACUCGGCCCUAGAAAUGUAUUUCAGGCUAACUCUACCUCUGCUCUCAAACCAAGCAAACCAAAUGGCUAACUCACAGAUUGUGGACUAGAAAAUGUGAGCAUUAGGUGUUUCAGGUUCUUAAUAAUCACUGAACAUUGUUCUUUCAGUGGCUAGGGUAGAGCUCAGAGUUAAAACACGGGCAGAUGAGGCCCUGAGCUACAUCCCCAGCAGUGCAAAACUAUUUCAAAUACAGUUUUGGGAAGUCUAGUGUGCCAAUAUAAGAAAACUAUUCCUAACUAAGCUGAUAUUUAAUAUAGGGUAAUAUCUUAAAAAUGAGUAUCAAGAGUGCUAAUAAGGGAAAAUAUAGUAAGUCAGUAUUUUAAUUAAGCUGUUUCCUGAUGAUGAAAGCAAAAUAUUAAACAUUUUCAAUUGUGUCUUUUAUGUUAUCAGAUUUCUUGUUUGGGACAGAGUCUCACUAUGUAGCCCUGGAUGGCCUAGAACUCACAGAGUUCCCCCUGCCUCAGCCUUCCAGGUGCUAGGGGUUAGAGGUGUGUGCUAUUACGCCUCAGUACAGGAUUUUCUUUUAAAUGUUGCUAAGCGCUUCAGCUUUUUAUAUGUCUCAUGUCUUCAAUCCCUAACUUUGGAGAAACCUUCCUCACUUCAUCACUGUUUGAAAAGUUUAAUAUUUGUUCUGGGAGAAUGUGUUUCUAACCCACAACUGCUGAAUUAAGCAGCAGUUAGCAUAUGGUAAAAUCUGUGAUCUUUGAACUUGAAAUUUUUUCACUGCAUUUAUACUUCUCAGUCUGAUAAGUCUAUAGUUUCCUAAAGUCUAAUGGAAACUAGGUUCCAAAGUUGGAAGGCUUAUUAAUCCAUGCACUUCCCCAUGAAAUACUAUGUAAAGUUUAUAAUCUCUACUUUAAAAGUUAUUCUCUAGGGGCAUUAGUUUUUGUUAACUGGCUCCUAGCAACUGGAUGAACAUGUUUUUCUUUUU